GUUUGAUACCCCGAAACUACGUGAGCUACUUCAAGACAGCCUAUUAAUAGGGCUAACCCAUCUCUGUGGCAAAAGCGUGGGAAGAACUUUGAGUAGAGGUGACAAACCUACCGAACCUAGUUAUAGCUGGUUGUCCAAGAAAUGAAUAAAAGUUCAGCCUCUAAGCUUCUCCUUUCACCUGAACUUAACCCCUUUAGAUGUAUUAAAGAAACUAAGAAAGUUAGUCAAAGGAGGUACAGCUCCUUUGAAUCAAGACACAACUUUAACAGGCGGGUAAAGAUCAUAAUAACCAAAGCUAGACAUUCUGGUGGGCCUAAAAGCAGCCAUCCCUUAGAAAGCGUUAAAGCUCAAACAUAUUACUUAUACCUUCUUAUCCUGAUCAAUAAAUCUCACCCCCCUAACCAUACUGGACCCUCCCAUGCCCCCAUGGGUGUGAUUAUGCUAAUAUGAGUAAUAAGAGAGCCCGCCUCUCUCCCUGCACACGUGUACCUCGGAACAGACAACCCACCGACCAUUAACGACCCCAAACAAAGAGGGUAAUAAAUCAUAAACUAAAAUCAAGUAAAACAUUUAAAAAUUAACCGUUAACCCCACACAGGUGAACCCCAAGGAAAGACCUAAAGAAAGAGAAGGAACUCGGCAAACACAUAAAGUCUCGCCUGUUUACCAAAAACAUCGCCUCUUGUACCCCCC
RNAcentral lists this ribosomal RNA (693 nucleotides) under Careproctus rastrinus. RNAcentral's name for it is "partial 16S rRNA". The stretch from base 1 to 443 matches the Rfam family "Bacterial large subunit ribosomal RNA", at positions 705 to 1298 of the family's 2925-position model. The record is from RNAcentral. Lineage: Eukaryota; Metazoa; Chordata; Actinopteri; Perciformes; Liparidae.